UACAGAGGGGGCAAGCGUUAUUCGGAAUUAUUGGGCGUAAAGGGCGCGUAGGCGGCUUGGCAAGUGGAAGGUGAAAUCCCUCGGCUUAACCGAGGAACUGCCCUCCAAACUGCUUGGCUUGAGACCGGGAGAGGUGAGUGGAAUUCCCAGUGUAGCGGUGAAAUGCGUAGAUAUUGGGAGGAACACCAGUGGCGAAGGCGGCUCACUGGACCGGUACUGACGCUGAUGCGCGAAAGCGUGGGGAUCAAACAGG
This 253-nucleotide ribosomal RNA is filed under the name uncultured bacterium. Its description in RNAcentral is "partial 16S ribosomal RNA". It matches the Rfam family "Bacterial small subunit ribosomal RNA", at positions 524 to 776 of the family's 1533-position model. The record is from RNAcentral.